Molecule: ribosomal RNA, 253 nt
Filed under: uncultured bacterium
Lineage: Bacteria
Description: partial 16S ribosomal RNA
Rfam family: Bacterial small subunit ribosomal RNA
Source: RNAcentral
UACGAAGGGUGCAAGCGUUACUCGGAAUUACUGGGCGUAAAGCGUGCGUAGGUGGUUCGUUAAGUCUGAUGUGAAAGCCCUGGGCUCAACCUGGGAAUGGCAUUGGAUACUGGCGAUCUAGAGUGCGGUAGAGGGCAGUGGAAUUCCCGGUGUAGCAGUGAAAUGCGUAGAUAUCGAGAGGAACACCAGUGGCGAAGGCGAGUCCCUGGACAACUCCUGACACUGAGGCACGAAAGCUAGGGGAGCAAACAGG